Long non-coding RNA from Melospiza georgiana, 1074 nucleotides. RefSeq lists it as uncharacterized. The transcript has 3 exons. Lineage: Eukaryota; Metazoa; Chordata; Aves; Passeriformes; Passerellidae. The record is from RefSeq and is a predicted model, not a curated record.
AGGACAGCUGAGGGGCUCCAUGCUGGAGCCAGCACGGUUCCCAGGGCUUCUCCAGUCUCCUGAAAAGGCCUGGAGAUCCCUCGUGGAGAGCUAGUAGCACUCUGCUUUGAAAUGGUGCAGUGAAUUCUAAAGAAAUGCCAGCCCGGCCCUCCCCUCCCUCUGCCAGAGCGGGCACAGCAGGUUUAUCAGCUCAGUCCUCGUCAUUUUUGCCAACGUUUUUCACAGUUGCUCCUUUCACCACGGAUACAUUUGUUUAUGUGGAUACAAGCAAGCAAAAAGUGAGAUUUAAAAUGGGAAAAAACAAACAUCCAUUUCCUCUGUUUUUCUUGUAUUUUGCAGGUGUAUCAGUCUCCCAUGAAAUCUUCCAGCAGGAGGAGUACCCCGAGGUGGGAAUAACUCCAUCCUGAAGGUUUGGCCUCAGGCAAAUUGUAGAAAGAGAAGGAAUCGUUCUGUGGGAAGGUGAGAGAGCACCUCUCGUGUUCCCACUGCUCUCUGCCCAGCAAUAUGCAGCUCAGCGGCUUCCCCAGGUGGUCACAGCCCCACUUUCCACAGGCUCGUCCCCUUCUCCCGUGGAGCCCCGGUGCCAGCCCCACAGCGUCCCUCAGCAGCGCCUCCGUCCCUCGCUCCCUGCUCUUCUCCCAUCGUGGGAUGCCCCCUAAUGCUCGCAGCGCAGCAUCCCGGCCUCCCGCCGCGUGUCAGCACGAACCGGGCUCCAGAAUCCUCUCUCCAGCCCCCCUGGUACAUUCCGGGCUCCAGAAUCCUCUCUCCAGCCCCCCUGGUACAUUCUGGGCUCCAGAAUCCUCUCUCCAGCUCCAUCACAUCUCUCAGCAGCACAAUCCCUGUUUCCAUGAUGAAACUAAUCGUGAGAGGUUACAAAAGCUUUGCUGGAGUGAAUGGAAAGGUGAAUUAAGCGCCAGAAAACUCAAAUUCGGGCUCGGAGGCAAAAAAUGACACCAGAGAAUGUGGAUUUUGGUGGUUAUGGGCUGUAAAUUUGCUGUUACUGCAGAUAAUUUUUAGCGUGUUCAGCACUUCCCAAAUGUGCUGAUAGUGAAAAGGAAACAGCGAGAGAGUAAC